Long non-coding RNA from Oreochromis aureus, 1956 nucleotides. NCBI's taxonomy places the organism in Eukaryota, Metazoa, Chordata, Actinopteri, Cichliformes, Cichlidae. The record is from Ensembl.
GGGUAUUCAAAAAUAUCUGUUAAACUGCGAGAACUACAAACAGUACAGGAUGGAGGAAUGUGGCUCUUUAAUCGAAAAUAAAUGAAUAAAUUAGUUUUUCUUGUAAAUCUAUAAUUUUCUAUUAUAAACUAACCAGUUUAAUGUCAGAGGAUAUUACAGCUUUUUUUUUAUUAUUUUCUCUCCUUUAGUCUUCAAAUCCAGUUUUUAAAGCAAAAUUGAUUCCUACCUCAGUUUAACAUUUGUCAGUGUGACUUUAAUAACCUGAAGCUCAACACUUGGAGACAAAUACAGGCCAUAGUUUAUUUGUUAAUUUCCAAAAAUGUAACACUUUGAAUGAAAAAUUUCAAAGGUUUUUUUCAACCGAAAUCUCUGUUUCAUAAUGUUUCUUGCAAAUUUCAGACUUUUCUGAGGUUUUUAUUGGACAUUUGAGUUUUAUAACCUCAACGAAUACUUUGGUGCUUUCUUAGAAGUGUACUGAGAAACUUUGUUUUUAACCAUCAAAGAAUAUUAGUUUUUCCCUCUCAAAUUUAGAAAUUAAAACUUUAUGACCUAAAUACAUAUUAGUUUAUUUUCUUGUAAUUUAAAUUUGAUUUUAUUGUAUCAAAAGAUUUAUUUAUUUUUACUCAUUUAUAUUAAAGUUUUUUCCUUCCUAUGAUUUUAUAUUCUCACAGAAUAUCAAUGUUUGGGUUUUUUUGUUUUGUUUUGGGUUUUUUUUUGUUUUUGUUUUGUCUCAGAGAUCAGUCGUAUCCAGUGAAUUAGCAGCCUUAAUCUCAGAGCAUUUUUUGAUAUUAUUACAAGUUUGAUUUCGAUAAAAUUGCAGUUUUCUCACAUUUUUUUUCAACCAUCUCAGAAAUGUUUUUUUUUCGUUAACAUUAAAAUCUAUAAUUUCAUAAUACAACAGAAUAUGAGAAUAGUUCUUGCAGAUUAUGCAUCUUGUUUAAAGAAUAUUACCAUUUGUUCCCACAAAGUUGCGACUUUAGCCUCAGACUUUUCCUCUGAGGAUAAUCGCCCUUCCUUGGCUCCUCUUUUUAAGCCUGACCUAAUGCCCCCAAACACUCAUUUAGUCUUUGAAUGCAGUUUUACGUCAGUGAUUCGUUAAUUCUCAGAAUUGAUUUGGUGCCACUUUAAUAAAUUGCCUGAGCGGGGCUGGAGGAACAGGGAUUAAGUACUGUCUUCACUUCAUGGGGUGAAAGCAGCGCUGAUGCUGUUAACAGGAUUUAGUUGGAGUGCAGUUUGAUUCGCUAAGCUCCUGACGCUGGGAUUCCCUCCUAGAUGACGCCAGUGAAGGAACAUAUCACCAGCCGUCCCGUUUUCUGUGGUUUAACGUUAGUCCUCAUAUUCAUGAGCGGUGCCUGACUGAUGGAUCUAAGCUACUUCAUAUCAGCCGCGUCGGGUUUUCCCACCAAACGCGCUUCCUGGUUCUCGUGUACAGUUUUUCUUUGUGUGAUUUCAGGGAUCUGAUUGGUGCAGGUCUCUGUUGCUUUCUCACGGUCACCAUGAUGAUCAUGAUGAUUCAGUGUGUGUGGAAGUGGAAUAUGAGGAGGACUUGAUGUAUGAUCAAAGCUCUUUAGAGUCGCACAGAUCUUCUUUCUCAGUCGCCUGUUCUGUUCAUUGAAUGUCUCCGUUUAUGCUUUCUGGACACAACAUUAUUCUUUGGGUUUGACUGUUCUUUAUUUAUGAAGAUGUAUGUACUGAUAAUAAUUUAAAAAAAAAAAAAAAGAGAGAGAGAGAACUGCUGUGUUGCAAAGUCUUUCAGAUUUCAUCCACUAGGUUUCCUGUUUGUCCACACUCUGUUCUCAGUUUGUUUUGUAACUGCUGAUAAGUUUAGUCCAAACUGAAGUGAAGAACUUUGGAUCCAGACAGUUUGGAGUUCCACGUUUUCCUGAUCUCAGUAGUUCCAGGACAUCGGUGUAAAAAUAUGAAAAAGCAAUAAAGAUGGAGUGGUUUAAAAAUAAU